AGAAUGAACGCUGGCGGCGUGCUUAACACAUGCAAGUCGAACGGAAUCCAAGGAGCUUGCUCUGGAAGAUUUAGUGGCGAACGGGUGAGUAUCACGUGAGCAACCUGCCCCGAAGACUGGGAUAACACCGGGAAACCGGUGCUAAUACCGGAUACCUUCCAAUGACCGCAUGGUCGAUGGAAGAAAUGUUUUUCGCUUCGGGAGGGGCUCGCGGUCCAUCAGCUUGUUGGCGGGGUAACGGCCCACCAAGGCUUCGACGGAUAGCUGGUCUGAGAGGACGAUCAGCCACACUGGAACUGAGACACGGUCCAGACUCCUACGGGAGGCAGCAGUGGGGAAUCUUGCGCAAUGGACGAAAGUCUGACGCAGCAACGCCGCGUGAGGGACGAAGGUUUUCUGAAUUGUAAACCUCUUUCGACAGGGACAUAAUGACGGUACCUGUAGAAGAAGCACCGGCCAACUAUGUGCCAGCAGCCGCGGU
This 481-nucleotide ribosomal RNA is filed under the name uncultured bacterium. RNAcentral describes it as "SSU rRNA". It matches the Rfam family "Bacterial small subunit ribosomal RNA", at positions 26 to 521 of the family's 1533-position model. The record is from RNAcentral.